This 406-nucleotide ribosomal RNA is filed under the name uncultured bacterium. RNAcentral's name for it is "bacterial SSU rRNA". It matches the Rfam family "Bacterial small subunit ribosomal RNA", at positions 30 to 442 of the family's 1533-position model. The record is from RNAcentral.
AUUGAACGCUGGCGGCAUGCUUUACACAUGCAAGUCGAACGGUAACAGGCCGCAAGGUGCUGACGAGUGGCGAACGGGUGAGUAAUGCAUCGGAACGUGCCCAGUCGUGGGGAUAACGCAGCGAAAGCUGCGCUAAUACCGCAUACGAUCUAUGGAUGAAAGCGGGGGACCGUAAGGCCUCGCGCGAUUGGAGCGGCCGAUGUCAGAUUAGGUAGUUGGUGGGGUAAAGGCUCACCAAGCCAACGAUCUGUAGCUGGUCUGAGAGGACGACCAGCCACACUGGGACUGAGACACGGCCCAGACUCCUACGGGAGGCAGCAGUGGGAAUUUUGGACAAUGGGCGCAAGCCUGAUCCAGCAAUGCCGCGUGCAGGAAGAAGGCCUUCGGUGUAACUAGCUUUGUACGG